CUUCAAAUGACUGAGCCAUUGGACAAAGAAAGCAAUUAUAUUAUCAGAGAUCCAGAGACAGAAGGGACCUUUGAGAUCAUCUGGCCCAACCCCUGUGUUUUAUAACUGAAGAAACAGACUUGCAAGAUAAAGGAGGAGAUAUCAUGGGGAAGACUAAUUCACCAAGCCUCAAUAUUUUUUUGAAAAAUCACUUUGAAAACAUACCUGUUCUUCAUGGGGUCCCUGGCUUUGAACUCUCAACCUAGUUGAAACAUUGAAUGAACUAAAGAUAGACCUGCAAUGGAAGAGUUUGCAUUAGGACACAGAUCAAGGACAGCGGCACAGCAAAUAGCAUCUAACACAACAGUUAUUGAAGAACACAGUCUAUAUUCUCAGUGCACACGGAAGGAGGUAUUCCCCUGUAUCCAGUGGGAGGGAGGAGGAACUAAAGGUUAGUACUGGCUGAGCAAAAACUACGCUCCUGUAUCCUGGCUUCUCUUCCUAGUCCUCUCAGGGACUGCCCGUGUGGCCUCAAGUCAAUCAGGCCACCUUGGGGUGCCUCCACUAAAAGAGAUCAAAAACCGGGGG
This 567-nucleotide long non-coding RNA is filed under the name Monodelphis domestica (gray short-tailed opossum). RNAcentral describes it as "lncRNA (ENSMODG00000044419.1)". Lineage: Eukaryota; Metazoa; Chordata; Mammalia; Didelphimorphia; Didelphidae. The record is from RNAcentral.